CCUACGGGAGGCUGCAGUGAGGAAUAUUGGUCAAUGGACGCAAGUCUGAACCAGCCAUGCCGCGUGCAGGAAGACGGCUCUAUGAGUUGUAAACUGCUUUUGUACGAGGGUAAACGCAGAUACGCGUAUCUGUCUGAAAGUAUCGUACGAAUAAGGAUCGGCUAACUCCGUGCCAGCAGCCGCGGUAAUACGGAGGAUUCAAGCGUUAUCCGGAUUUAUUGGGAUUAAAGGGUGCGUAGGCGGUCGGAUAAGUUAGAGGUGAAAUCCCGGGGCUCAACUUCGGCAUUGCGUCUGAUACUGUUCGGCUAGAGAGUAGUUGCGGUAGGCGGAAUGUAUGGUGUAGCGGUGAAAUGCUUAGAGAUCAUGCAGAACACCGAUUGCGAAGGCAGCUUACCAGGCUACUUCUGACGUUGAGGCACGAAAGCGUGGGGAGCGAACAGGAUUAGAUACCCUUGUAGUC
RNAcentral lists this ribosomal RNA (460 nucleotides) under uncultured bacterium. Its description in RNAcentral is "partial 16S ribosomal RNA". It matches the Rfam family "Bacterial small subunit ribosomal RNA", at positions 338 to 795 of the family's 1533-position model. The record is from RNAcentral.